Molecule: ribosomal RNA, 379 nt
Filed under: Malassezia sp.
Lineage: Eukaryota; Fungi; Basidiomycota; Malasseziomycetes; Malasseziales; Malasseziaceae
Description: partial small subunit ribosomal RNA
Rfam family: Eukaryotic small subunit ribosomal RNA
Source: RNAcentral
AUUCCAGCUCCAAUAGCGUAUAUUAAAGUUGUUGCAGUUAAAAAGCUCGUAGUUGGACCUUGGGCCUGGACGGGCGGUCCGCCUCACGGCGUGUACUGUCUUGCCGGGCCUUUCCUCUUGGUGAUCUGUUGUUUCGGCAGCAGGGAACCAGGACCUUUACUUUGAAAAAAUUAGAGUGUUCAAAGCAGGCUCGACGCCGGAAUAUAUUAGCAUGGAAUAAUAAAAUAGGACGUGCGGUUCUAUUUUGUUGGUUUUUGGAAUCGCCGUAAUGAUUAAUAGGGACAGUCGGGGGCAUUAGUACUCACAUGCUAGAGGUGAAAUUCUUGGAUUUUGUGAAGACUAACUUCUGCGAAAGCAUUUGCCAAGGAUGUUUUCAUUG